UGAGGAACAUGACCUUCGGCGGGGGAUAGCCGGCCCAACGGCCGGGUAAUACCGCGUACGACCACUUGGGGACAUCCUGGAGUGGUGAAAGCAGCAAUGCGCCGAUGAAGUGCCUCGCGGCCUAUCAGCUAGUUGGUGAGGUAACGGCUCACCAAGGCGACGACGGGUAGCUGGUCUGAGAGGACGACCAGCCACACUGGAACUGAGAUACGGUCCAGACUCCGUAACGGGGAGCA
Molecule: ribosomal RNA, 236 nt
Filed under: uncultured bacterium
Lineage: Bacteria
Description: partial 16S ribosomal RNA
Rfam family: Bacterial small subunit ribosomal RNA
Source: RNAcentral